Molecule: ribosomal RNA, 456 nt
Filed under: Stemphylium vesicarium
Lineage: Eukaryota; Fungi; Ascomycota; Dothideomycetes; Pleosporales; Pleosporaceae
Description: LSU rRNA
Rfam family: Eukaryotic large subunit ribosomal RNA
Source: RNAcentral
GGACCGCCCUAGUAACGGCGAGUGAAGCGCAACAGCUCAAAUUUGAAAUCUGGCUCUUUUAGGGUCCGAGUUGUAAUUUGCAGAGGGCGCUUUGGCUUUGGCAGCGGUCCAAGUUCCUUGGAACAGGACGUCACAGAGGGUGAGAAUCCCGUACGUGGUCGCUAGCUAUCGCCGUGUAAAGCCCCUUCGACGAGUCGAGUUGUUUGGGAAUGCAGCUCUAAAUGGGAGGUAAAUUUCUUCUAAAGCUAAAUAUUGGCCAGAGACCGAUAGCGCACAAGUAGAGUGAUCGAAAGAUGAAAAGCACUUUGGAAAGAGAGUCAAACAGCACGUGAAAUUGUUGAAAGGGAAGCGCUUGCAGCCAGACUUGCUUGCAGUUGCUCAUCCGGGCUUUUGCGGCUGCACUCUUCUGUAGGCAGGCCAGCAUCAGUUUGGGCGGUGGGAUAAAGGUCUCUGUCA